UAGUCAUAUGCUCGUCUCAAAGAUUAAGCCAUGCAUGUCUAAGUAUAAAUAACUACACAGUAAAACUGCGAAUGGCUCAUUAGAACAGUUAUAGUUUAUUUGAUAAAUUAAAUGGAUAACUGUAGGAAACUAGAGCUAAUACAUGCCAAGGCCGACAGGCUGCAUUUAUUAGAUAUACCAAGAAGGUGAAUCAUAAUAACUUUGCAAAUCGAAACUAAGUUUCGAUACAUCAUUCAAGUUUCUGACCUAUCAUGCUCUCGAUGGUAGUGUAUUGGACUACCAUGGCAGUCACGGGUAACGGAGAAUUAGGGUUCGAUUCCGGAGAAGGAGCCUGAGAAACGGCUACUACAUCUAAGGAAGGCAGCAGGCGCGUAAAUUACCCAAUCCUAAAUCAGGGAGGUAGUGGCAAUAAAUAACAAUGCAGGGCCCAACGGGUUUUGCAAUUGGAAUGAGUACAAUUUAAAUCUCUUAACGAGUAACAAUU
RNAcentral lists this ribosomal RNA (484 nucleotides) under uncultured eukaryote. RNAcentral's name for it is "bacterial SSU rRNA". It matches the Rfam family "Eukaryotic small subunit ribosomal RNA", at positions 21 to 549 of the family's 1831-position model. The record is from RNAcentral.